Long non-coding RNA from Cyprinus carpio (common carp), 1388 nucleotides. The record is from Ensembl. NCBI's taxonomy places the organism in Eukaryota, Metazoa, Chordata, Actinopteri, Cypriniformes, Cyprinidae.
AUAAUAUAUUGUGAUCUUAACAUUGGUAUUGUGUCUGACAUUGAGAAUAAGAUGGAUGUAUAUACCCUGAAUUUUAAAAUGUUCUAUGUAAAUCAUAUUUAUUUGGAAUAUACCAUCCUUCUUUUGGUGAAUGCACUUGGAAAGGUUGACAGGCGCUGAAUUUUUUAUUUUUUUUUAUUUUUUUUUAUUUUUUUUUGCAGCUGCAAAUGAACCACAGAACGGUACAGCUUGGUCACCGAAACUCAAGAAUCUAAUUGCUCAGAAGAGAGACUUGUAUACACACAAUGGGCUUCAGAAGUCAGAGACUACAUUGAAAACCCAUGCCAGACUUUUAAAGGAUGCUGUACAGGCGGACCACAGGAGCCAGUGUGAAUCAAAGCGACUAUAGCCAAUGGCAACGGUUCAUGUGCAGACAGGUGAAAAAGAUACUUCUGUAGGUCAGCACAAGGUCAUCAAGCAGAAGACAGAUAAGUGACUCUGCAUGAGGUAAUACCACAUCAACCACACACACCUAUUUGGCCUGGCAAAGGGAGCUCUUUGUUAGUACAGAGAAGUGCUGAUGGCUUCUGUCCCCCUCUGGUAGGGUCACAGGGGCCCUUUUCUGAAACAAAAUAGGCCAUGCACCUGCCAAAGAGCCAACAUCAUCAAAUAUUGAUCUAUAUUUACACUACUAGUUAAAGGUUUGGACGCACUGAAUGAAUUUGUUUUAUAUGAUUUUAAAACAUUUGACAUUUUUCAUAUAUGCUUGAAAUUAGAUUUGUAGACAUAAAUUGUGCCUAUGUAUUUCUAUGCAAAUUUAGAAUUUGAUUUUAUUUUUGAAUUUUAAUUUUAUUUUAAGUAUAAUUUGCAUGUCUAUUUUAUUUUAUUUUAUUUUUUAAAAUUUAAUUUAAUCUUUAAAUUAAUUAAAAUUUUAUGAGUCCCUUUGAACUUCCAGUUUUAUUUAUUAGUUUUAAUGACUUUCUAUAAAAUGUGGAGAGAAAAAAAAUGGGUAUGUGCGUGUCUGGUAGUGUAUAUGCCAACAUAACAUUUUAUUAUUUCUCUUUGCAGUCAUUCUCAGAGUCCUAUCCUAUUUCCAUCUGAAAUUAAUGACCACAUUAUUCGGGUCUCUCUGUUACUCAUCACCCAUAAUUCCCUGCUGUGACCUCUACGACCCUCACCUCCUCUUGUGUCUGUCCUCUUUUCCUCCUCAUCCUCUUUUCUAGCAGCAUUCACCUCUGAAUGACUCGAAGCUCUGGCAGGGUGACAGCCCCUGUCUGUCUCUCCAGGACCAACUUGAACCAACACCAGUCUAAUCUCUGGGAUCACCUUUCUUCCAUGGGGACACAAGUGUGGAUCAGUGGGACAGAGCUCCAGGAAUCUCCUCUUUUAAUUUAGGUACAGAACCACAC